GACGAACGCUGGCGGCGUGCUUAACACAUGCAAGUCGAACGGAAAGGCCUGCUUUCCCUUGUGGAUUGCGGGUACUCGAGUGGCGAACGGGUGAGUAACACGUGAGUGAUCUGCCCCCAACUUGGGUAUAAGCCUGGGAAACUGGGUCUAAUUCCCGAUAGGACUGCAGGGUGGUGCCUGUGGUGGAAAACGAUUUUUUAGUGGUUGGGGAUGAGCUCGCGGCCUAUCAGCUUGUUGGUGGGGUAAUGGCCUACCAAGGCGGCGACGGGUAGCCGGCCUGAGAGGGUGGACGGCCACAUUGGGACUGAGAUACGGCCCAGACUCCUACGGGAGGCAGCAGUGGGGAAUAUUGCACAAUGGGCGGAAGCCUGAUGCAGCGACGCCGCGUGGGGGAUGACGGCCUUCGGGUUGUAAACUCCUUUCGACCGCGAGGAAGCCACCUGGUUGGAAGGGUGGUGACGGUAGUGGUAGAAGAAGCACCGGCUAACUACGUG
This 494-nucleotide ribosomal RNA is filed under the name uncultured bacterium. Its description in RNAcentral is "partial 16S ribosomal RNA". It matches the Rfam family "Bacterial small subunit ribosomal RNA", at positions 28 to 507 of the family's 1533-position model. The record is from RNAcentral.